This is a non-coding RNA of Pelobates cultripes (western spadefoot toad), 216 nucleotides long. The record is from the annotation of a GenBank genome assembly. NCBI's taxonomy places the organism in Eukaryota, Metazoa, Chordata, Amphibia, Anura, Pelobatidae.
CAGGGACCGAAGACAGGGAUGCGCAGGCCGGUUCGGGAUACGAAUGCUGUCCCCUGGUGGCAUUUGACUAUAUGAACCGACGGCCACGCAGGGAAAGCACACGCCGCUUGUGGUCUGCGUUUUUCACACCUCCUUAGCGAGGUGUGAACAUUCUAACCACACAUUCUAAAUGGAGUAUUGGGAUAGUCCGGUGCCCAAGCGUGGAUGAAAAGUAAA